Molecule: ribosomal RNA, 413 nt
Filed under: uncultured bacterium
Lineage: Bacteria
Description: bacterial SSU rRNA
Rfam family: Bacterial small subunit ribosomal RNA
Source: RNAcentral
GUGUCAGCCGCCGCGGUAAGACGUAGGAUGCGAGCGUUGUCCGGAUUUAUUGGGCGUAAAGAGUUCGUAGGUGGUUUGUUAAGUUUGGUGUUAAAGAUCGGGGCUCAACCCUGGGACUGCACUGAAUACUGGCAGACUCGAGUGUGGUAGAGGCUAGUGGAAUUCCCAGUGUAGCGGUGAAAUGCGUAGAUAUUGGGAAGAACACCGGUGGCGUAGGCGACUAGCUGGGCCAUAACUGACGCUGAGGAACGAAAGCCAGGGGAGCGAAUGGGAUUAGAUACCCCAGUAGUCCUGGCCGUAAACGAUGGAUACUAGGCGUAUCGGGUAUCGACCCCUGAUGUGCCGCAGCUAACGCGAUAAGUAUCCCGCCUGAGUAGUACGGCCGCAAGGUUGAAACUUAAAUGAAUUGACGG